This 435-nucleotide ribosomal RNA is filed under the name uncultured bacterium. RNAcentral's name for it is "bacterial SSU rRNA". It matches the Rfam family "Bacterial small subunit ribosomal RNA", at positions 43 to 524 of the family's 1533-position model. The record is from RNAcentral.
CAGGCCUAACACAUGCAAGUCGAACGAAGGCUUCGGGCAUAGUGGCGCACGGGUGCGUAACGCGUGGGAAUCUGCCCUUGGGUUCGGAAUAACGUCGGGAAACUGACGCUAAUACCGGAUGACGUCUUCGGACCAAAGAUUUAUCGCCUGAGGAUGAGCCCGCGUAAGAUUAGGUAGUUGGUGUGGUAAAGGCGCACCAAGCCGACGAUCUUUAGCUGGUCUGAGAGGAUGAUCAGCCACACUGGGACUGAGACACGGCCCAGACUCCUACGGGAGGCAGCAGUGGGGAAUAUUGGACAAUGGGCGCAAGCCUGAUCCAGCAAUGCCGCGUGAGUGAUGAAGGCCUUAGGGUUGUAAAGCUCUUUUACCCGGGAUGAUAAUGACAGUACCGGGAGAAUAAGCUCCGGCUAACUCCGUGCCAGCAGCCGCGGUAAU